ACUCAAAUGAAUUGACGGGGACCCGCACAAGCGGUGGAGUAUGUGGUUUAAUUCGACGCAACACGAAAAACCUUACCUGGGCUCGAACGACUGGAAGUAGAAUUGAUGAAAGUCGAGACGACCUGUAAAAUCAGGAGCCAGCCGAGGUGCUGCAUGGUUGUCGUCAGCUCGUGUCGUGAGAUGUUGGGUUAAGUCCCGCAACGAGCGCAACCCCCAUUUCCUGUUGCCACCCUCGAGCAAUCGGGGAGCACUCUGGAGAAACUGCCCACGAUGAGUGGGAGGAAGGUGGGGAUGACGUCAAAUCACCAUGGCCCUUAUGUCCAGGGCUACACACGUACUACAAUGGCCGAUACAAUGGGAUGCAAUGCAGCAAUGCGGAGCCAAUCCCCUCAAAGUCGGCCUCAGUUCAGAUUGUGGGCUGCAACUCGUCCACAUGAAGGAGGAAUCGCUAGUAAUCGCGAAUCAGAAGGUCGCGGUGAAUACGUUCCCGGGUCUUGUACACACCGCCCGU
This 511-nucleotide ribosomal RNA is filed under the name uncultured bacterium. RNAcentral's name for it is "partial 16S ribosomal RNA". It matches the Rfam family "Bacterial small subunit ribosomal RNA", at positions 899 to 1397 of the family's 1533-position model. The record is from RNAcentral.